AACGAACGCUGGCGGCAUGCCUAACACAUGCAAGUCGAACGAAGUCUUCGGACUUAGUGGCGCACGGGUGCGUAACGCGUGGGAAUCUGCCCUUGGGUGCGGAAUAACUUCUCGAAAGGGAUGCUAAUACCGCAUAAUGUCGUAAGACCAAAGAUUUAUCGCCCAAGGAUGAGCCCGCGUAAGAUUAGCUAGUUGGUGGGUAAAAGCCUACCAAGGCGACGAUCUUUAGCUGGUCUGAGAGGAUGAUCAGCCACACUGGGACUGAGACACGGCCCAGACUCCUACGGGAGGCAACAGUGGGGGAAUAUUGGACAAUGGGCGAAAGCCUGAUCCAGCAAUGCCGCGUGAGUGAUGAAGGCCCUA
Molecule: ribosomal RNA, 363 nt
Filed under: uncultured bacterium
Lineage: Bacteria
Description: bacterial SSU rRNA
Rfam family: Bacterial small subunit ribosomal RNA
Source: RNAcentral